UACGUAGGUGGCGAGCGUUGUCCGGAUUUACUGGGCGUAAAGGGAGCGUAGGCGGACUUUUAAGUGAGAUGUGAAAUACCCGGGCUCAACUUGGGUGCUGCAUUUCAAACUGGAAGUCUAGAGUGCAGGAGAGGAGAAUGGAAUUCCUAGUGUAGCGGUGAAAUGCGUAGAUAUUAGGAGGAACACCAGUAGCGAAGGCGGCUCUCUGGACUGUAACUGACGCUGAGGCACGAAAGCGUGGGGAGCAAACAGGAUUAGAUACCCCCGUAGU
RNAcentral lists this ribosomal RNA (271 nucleotides) under uncultured prokaryote. RNAcentral describes it as "partial 16S ribosomal RNA". It matches the Rfam family "Bacterial small subunit ribosomal RNA", at positions 524 to 794 of the family's 1533-position model. The record is from RNAcentral.